AGCUACAGGCUUAACACAUGCAAGUCGAGGGGAAACGAUAGAGAAAGCUUGCUUUUUCUAGGCGUCGACCGGCGCACGGGUGAGUAACGCGUAUCCAACCUGCCCAUCACUUGGGGAUAACCUUGCGAAAGUAAGACUAAUACCCAAUGACGUCUCUAGAAGACAUCUGAAGGAGAUUAAAGAUUUAUCGGUGAUGGAUGGGGAUGCGUCUGAUUAGCUUGUUGGCGGGGUAACGGCCCACCAAGGCGACGAUCAGUAGGGGUUCUGAGAGGAAGGUCCCCCACAUUGGAACUGAGACACGGUCCAAACUCCUACGGGAGGCAGCAGUGAGGAAUAUUGGUCAAUGGACGAGAGUCUGAACCAGCCAAGUAGCGUGCAGGAUGACGGCCCUAUGGGUUGUAAACUGCUUUUAUAAGGGAAUAAAGUGAGUCUCGUGAGUCCUUUUGUAUGUACCUUAUGAAUAAGGACCGGCUAAUUCCGUGCCAGCAGCCGCGGUAAUACGGAAGGUCCGGGCGUUAUCCGGAUUUAUUGGGUUUAAAGGGAGCGUAGGCCGGAGAUUAAGCGUGUUGUGAAAUGUAGACGCUCAACGUCUGCACUGCAGCGCGAACUGGUUUCCUUGAGUACGCACAAAGUGGGCGGAAUUCGUGGUGUAGCGGUGAAAUGCUUAGAUAUCACGAAGAACUCCGAUUGCGAAGGCAGCUCACUGGAGCGCAACUGACGCUGAAGCUCGAAAGUGCGGGUAUCGAACAGGAUUAGAUACCCUGGUAGUCCGCACGGUAAACGAUGGAUGCCCGCUGUUGGUCUGAAUAGGUCAGCGGCCAAGCGAAAGCAUUAAGCAUCCCACCUGGGGAGUACGCCGGCAACGGUGCAACUCAAAGGAAUUGACGGA
RNAcentral lists this ribosomal RNA (889 nucleotides) under uncultured organism. RNAcentral's name for it is "bacterial SSU rRNA". It matches the Rfam family "Bacterial small subunit ribosomal RNA", at positions 38 to 917 of the family's 1533-position model. The record is from RNAcentral.